Molecule: ribosomal RNA, 253 nt
Filed under: uncultured bacterium
Lineage: Bacteria
Description: partial 16S ribosomal RNA
Rfam family: Bacterial small subunit ribosomal RNA
Source: RNAcentral
UACGUAGGGUGCAAGCGUUAAUCGGAAUUACUGGGCGUAAAGCGUGCGCAGGCGGUGAUGUAAGACAGAUGUGAAAUCCCCGGGCUCAACCUGGGAACUGCAUUUGUGACUGCAUCGCUGGAGUGCGGCAGAGGGGGAUGGAAUUCCACGUGUAGCAGUGAAAUGCGUAGAGAUGUGGAGGAAUACCGAUGGCGAAGGCAGCCCCUGGGCCAAUACUGACGCUCAUGCACGAAGCGUGGGAGAACAAGAUGAU